ACACUGGCCAUCCUACNUGAUCCGAGGUCACCUGGUUAAAAGAUUGGUUGCGAGGCUAGCUGCCAGCUGGACCUACGGGAGCGGGUGACAAAGCCCCAUACGCUCGAGGACCAGACAUGGUGCCGCCACUGCCUUUUGGGCCCGUCCCCGUUGCCAGGGACGGAAGCCCAACACACAAGCCGUGCUUGAGGGCAGCAAUGACGCUCGGACAGGCAUGCCCCCCGGAAUACCAGGGGGCGCAAUGUGCGUUCAAAGACUCGAUGAUUCACUGAAUUCUGCAAUUCACAUUAAUUAUCGCAUUUCGCUGCGUUCUUCAUCGAUGCCGGAACCAAGAGAUCCGUUGUUGAAAGUUUUAACGAUUGUUUAACUAAAAACUCAGACUGCAAACUUCAGACAGCGUUCAAAUGUUAGUCUCCGGCGGGCCGUGGCCACGCCGAAGCAACAGGGUACAGAUAGACACGGAUGGGAGGUUGGACCCAGAGGGCCCGCACUCGGUAAUGAUCCUUCCGCAGGUUCACCUACCGAAAA
RNAcentral lists this unclassified non-coding RNA (528 nucleotides) under Aspergillus amstelodami. Its description in RNAcentral is "sequence contains ITS1, 5.8S rRNA gene and ITS2". The record is from RNAcentral. Lineage: Eukaryota; Fungi; Ascomycota; Eurotiomycetes; Eurotiales; Aspergillaceae.